UUAAGUUCAGCGGGUAGUCCUACCUGAUUUGAGGUCAGAUUUGUCAAUAAAUUUUGUUUUAGAAGCCAGGCGACCCCUUUCCUACUCGCAAACGACGGCGUAAACAAGAAGUUUAUCACGCCAGAGGCAAAAAAAGGAGAGGGUCCUCGCUAAUGCAUUUGAGAGGAGCCGACCAGAAAGGCCGGCACACCUCCAACAAU
RNAcentral lists this unclassified non-coding RNA (200 nucleotides) under Clitocybe sp. RNAcentral describes it as "partial internal transcribed spacer 2". The record is from RNAcentral. Lineage: Eukaryota; Fungi; Basidiomycota; Agaricomycetes; Agaricales; Clitocybaceae.